GUGAAAUUUUACUAUUUUUUUUAUUUUUUGUCUUAUUUAAUAAAAAAAAUUCUAUAGUUUUAAUAUUUUCAUUGCUUUAUAAAUUAAAAUAAAAAUGAACAUUUUAAUAUAUUUUACAAAGUAAUACAAAGGAAAAAUAUUAAUAAAUAAAACAAAAUAAAGAAUGACCCCACACUCCAUAUCAUAUAGGGACACCGUUCCAUAUACAAGGUAUAAAAUAUAAUUAUUAUUGAUUUUUAUUAUUAUUUUAAUAAAAUUAAAAUAUAUUUAUUUUAUUAAUAAUUAUAAUAAAAAAUAUUUUUAUCUGGUGAAUAAAAAAAUAAAAUUAAAGUAAUAAUAAUAGUAAAUACCAUAUUUAUCAGCACACGUGGAUUAAAAAUUGACGUCAAAACUUAAACUCUGUCGUUUUGUUUCUCCCCACGAUUCAUUAAUCUAAUUUUUCUACUCAUAAAGCAAUGAAUAAAACACGUGGAUUAAAAAUUGACGUCAAAACUUAAACUCUGUCGUUUUGUUUCUCCCCACGAUUCAUUAAUCUAAUUUUUCUACUCAUAAAGCAAUGAAUAAA
This 565-nucleotide unclassified non-coding RNA is filed under the name Hevea brasiliensis (rubber tree). Lineage: Eukaryota; Viridiplantae; Streptophyta; Magnoliopsida; Malpighiales; Euphorbiaceae. The record is from RNAcentral.